This 75-nucleotide transfer RNA is filed under the name Perkinsus olseni. RNAcentral's name for it is "tRNA-Val". It matches the Rfam family "tRNA". From Rfam's summary of the family: Transfer RNA (tRNA) molecules are approximately 80 nucleotides in length. The record is from RNAcentral. Lineage: Eukaryota; Perkinsozoa; Perkinsida; Perkinsidae.
GUGGAAUGGUCUAGUUGGUUAUGACGACUGCCUAACACGCAGUAGGUCCCGAGUUCGAUUCUCGGUUCCAGUACU